Molecule: long non-coding RNA, 9857 nt
Filed under: Daucus carota (carrot)
Lineage: Eukaryota; Viridiplantae; Streptophyta; Magnoliopsida; Apiales; Apiaceae
Description: long non-coding RNA (DCAR_LNC000456)
Source: RNAcentral
CGGGUUGAAUAAUCAAGAAGAUCCCAAUUCAUUCAAAGCUCUAACUAUCACUGAGCAACACAUGCUUCAAUGACAAUCUGAACUUCGAAUUAAUUUGUAAAACGGAAAUUCUUUAGAAACUUGAAGAUUAGAAAGAAUGGGUCAGAAUACUCGCACUUUCGAACAUUGAAAAGAAAGGUAUGAAUACUUGAAACAUAUACCAAAGGAAUGGAUCAGAAUAUUUGCAAUAUAUCCAAGAGAAAGGUUUAGGAUACUUGCAACACAUCAAAAGAAUGAAUCAGAAUAUUUGCAAUAUAUCCAAAAGAAGGGUGUAGGAUACUUGCCUUAAAUCUGACUCCAGUCUCACAUCUCUAUCUCAUCUUUCAACUUUCACAAUCUAUGCAUCUCAUAAUCUCUAGACCAUCUCUAGCUAUACUCUAUUCGCCACAUCGCUUCGCUUACUCGAUUCAUCCCUUAUUCGCUUUGCAAUACCAUUCCGACUUCCUGACGUCUUCGAGCGUACAAGUCUCCUCCCAAUCCUUUACGAGAAUAAGAUAAUACUAUAGUCACUAAACAAUAUAUCGCAUAUACAUAUCACGUAUAUCGAUACCCACUUAUAUACCCCUUUAAACUUAUCACAUAUCACUUAACACGUAAUCAUGCUUUGACUCUACCAUAUAGUCAAGUCAUAUUCCACCUAACAUAUCACAAAUCAAUUAUCAUAUAAAUCCUAUCGAUAAUUUGACAGCGUCUCGUCUAUUUGUAGGACUAUCCACAUGUUAUCCUAUUCUCAAUCAACAACCAACCAAUCAAAUCCAGUCACUAUAAUCCAUACGUUCUUAUCCAAUAUUAAUCAAAUCAUGACACUAUGUCAUAUAAGUCAUUUAUCACGUACAUAAUAUCAGGAAUAGACAUAUAUAUCACGUAAUCAUUAAUUAAUAACAAUCCAAUAACACAUAAUCACAUUCGGCACAUUUAACAACAAUUAUUCACAUUCUCGACUCCAUCAUAUUAUUAUGUCAUAUCAAACUAGACUUUAUAAGCUUUUAUCUCUCUUUCGUUUCACUUGAUUCCGACUUACGGAUCAAAAGAUAUGGUCAAAACCGUUUUCUGACUCCGCUCUCAACAUAUAAUACCUUACACCGAUAGCAGACAACACAUUACACAUUAAGUCUCCCAUCCCACUUGAUGUCAAAUCAAUUCCUGGGUUUAAAAUGAUUUUUCGGGAAUUUUCUGGAAUUUUUAAACAUUUUUCGGAAUUAAAAUCGAUAAAAGAAUCACUUUUCAGAUAAAUAAUCAAGUCCCAAUACUUAAAAUUGGACUUGAAAUCAUUCAUAAACAAUUAUCGAGCCUUGAAAAUAAUUUAGAAAAAUAUUUUAAAGCUCGAAACUAUUUUUCGGAAUUUUUAAAUCAAAAAGGAUUAAUUAAAUCCAAUUAAUUAAUCAAUUAAAAUCAAUUAAUAAUUAAUCAAAACAAUUAAUCAAUUAAUAUUUAAAUUAAUUGACCAAUUAAAAUAAUUAAUUACUAAUUAAAAUUAAUUAAUAAAUCAAAUUAGAUUUAUUUUUGAAUAAAAAUAUAAUUAAAAACUAUUUUUGGAAUUAAAAUAAAUAAAUAAAAACAAUUUUUGAAAAUUAAAAUCAAAAGGUUUAAAGUGUAAAAUUUUAAAACUUUGUCGCAGGGUUUAAACUGCAACAUUUCAAAAGUUCAGGGGGCUCUUUGUCAGAAAUGAAAACUCGGUGGUGAAACUUCACCACCUCUAUAAGUUAGGGGGCUAAACUGUAAUUAUACAGUCGCCGCCCCCCUUUCCGUCGCCGGCCACCGUUGGUGGUUUAAACCAGCCCAGAAUCUCACCAUGAAGUGCAGUUUUAUAGUAAUCAACACCAGGAACUCGAAUAUAUCAACCAAUUAAGCAGUGGUUCCAUGAAUCAGCCGGAAAACCAAAUCAAAGGUUCGUCUCCGGCGAACCUUAAAAUUUUCGAUCCACUCGAAAACGACCUCCUCCACCCUCACUAAGCAUGUAAAACUACUCCCCACAACAAGCUGAUCAUUAUGGUGACCUUCAAAACUGCCCAGAUUCAACCGAAUGAAAAAUCCGGCGAAAACUCAAAAUUUCCGGCGGAAAACGCAAGAACACCAAGAACACUCAAUUUCAAAGAUUAAACUGACUUUUCGAGGUGUUAUUGAACUCAAAAUUCAACAUAUAAUAUACCAAAACGACGAGAAAAACAUGCUCUACAACAUGGAAUCAUCAAAACAAUCAAACAAACACGUUUGCAAAAAUUCACUAUUUAAAUCAUAAUAAUUCGAAUUUUAAAACUUCAAUUACUCCCUACCUGUGAAUCUCAUGUUGUUUUUGAUGAUUGAUUUGGGUUCUACUCUUCGAUAUCUUCGAUUUGACUAUUCGCACGCUUGAUUCUGACUCCAAUAACACCUUCAAAUCUUCGUUUGAUUAUGAAGAACACGAAGAACACCGCUCGGUUUCUCUCGGUAUUCGUGCAGAGAAACUGGUGAAAUGAUUUUACGGGUGAAAAUAAGCUCUAGAAAGGUCUAUUUAUAUUUACAAAUAAUUGGUACCCCUUUGGAUCGUUUAUGACAUGAAAAUACGUAUUUAAUAGCUUUAUAUUAAUAAAGCGGGGUCCAAUCGGUACUGGUUUUCGAGAUAAUCAUCAAAACGGGGCUUUUUAACUCAAUUAUUGGUCUGCGGGUCCCAUUGCAAUUAUUACAAGAUAAGGAUGAAUAUAAUAAUCAAAAUAUCUCGUUUCACGUUUAUCGAGACAAACUGGAUAAUUAUCAACAAUUAAAAUACCCGAAAAACUCCGCCGGACCGACUCCGGGGAAAACCGUACUCCGGAUCGAAAAAGUCAAAACACGAAAAGUGUCCGGAAUAUUCAAAUUAGGCUAAAGGUCAGUUUUGUUGAAACUUUCGGGAAGAAAAUUUGCUACCUCGUUACGAGUGGACGGUUUUACGGAAGUCAAAUAAUUAAUAAAUAAAUAUAAAUAUACGCAAUUAAAUCCGUAAAUCGAUUAUAAAAUCAUCUAACAUUCCAUAAAUCGAUAUGAAAAUAUCCAAAUAAACUAUAUUUUCUCCUGAGCAUAUAGAAAUUGAAAUCUCUCAAAUACGAACACAUAUGAGCAGUUAACGCAAUAAACCAGAUAAUAUAAAAUUCACAAAAAUUCAUAUAUUAAUCAUAUAAUACUCAUAAUUAACCAUAAUUAAUUAACCAACAAAUCCACCAAUACCACUUAAUCACAUCACACAUAUAUUCACAUAAUAUUCAUACAGAAUUUUCAAAACAAUAUAUGAAAAUCAGUUUUGAAAAUACAAUUAUUUAUCAAUAACACAAUAACCCGGGGUUUAAAUAUAAAACUUUGAAAACUCAUUAAACUGGAAUAAAAUAUUAAAUCUUAUUCCUUUCUUUUUAAGAAAAUCAUUUAUAAUAUUAAUAAAAAUAUUUUUAAAAUCCGGGUUAUUACAAUCUACCCUCCUUAUAGGGAUUCCGUCCUCGGAAUCAGAGAAAGAAGGAGGACGCAAAAUCUGUAAAAUCCAUAUUAAUCCAAAUAACAAAAAUAAUCACAUUCACACUAUUCACAUAAUCAUGUCACUAUUCCAUUAAAGCCAACAAUAAUAUCAACAUAUUAGAUCUAUAAUAAUCAUAAACUAAUUUUAAAAACAUGGGAUAUUACAUUCUACCCCCCUUAUAAGGAUUCUGUCCUCAGAAUCCGCGAUGAGAACUAAAACGUAUCAUUUAUAAGAUCAUUGUACAGCCUUCAUAAUAUCACAUGCUUAUCCGCCUUUGAUCAACUUUGGCAUACCUUCAAAGUUAAAGAAAUAGGAGAAUCAAAACCUUCACAAUUGCAAACUUCAUUUCCCAAGAAUCAAUCUUUGGGAAUUUCGGAGGAACAAGAUGUUUUCAAAAUAGGUCACAUUGGAAUACAAGAGUGACUGGGAGAUCAAUACGAUCAAAUGAACUUAAUGUUGCGUGUCCAUAUUAGACACUACUAAAGGUUGUUAACCUUCUUGUAAUCACAACACACACAAGUGAUGGCGUCCCAUCCAACUCCUAUCACACAGACAGGUAUACCUUGUGUCCCCUAUAAAUAGGGUUGUUCAUCCCAAUCAAAUUGAAAGAAUCCAAGGAAUCUCAAAGAAUAUCAAAGAAUCUCGAGAAUAUCAAAGAACAUCAAGGGAUAUCAAGGAUGAUGAAAGAAUAUCAAGGAAUGUCAAGAAAUGUCAAACAAUAUCAAGGAACAUCACUAUCUCUUCACAACAAACCUUUAUCACACCUCUUUGCUUUCCAACUCAUAUCAAUAAUCAAUAUCAAUGUCAUCUUAGAAUUUGAGAAUUUGAAGAUCUCAUUUAUCAAAACUUUUGUGGAAAAGAUAUCAUGAUAAUAUCUCACUGAUGAUAAAACAAUCAAAAGAAUCUUUAGUUGAAGAGAGGUAUUGCCAAGGUCUUCUCAGGUUCCUACUUUACUUCAAUAAAUCAUUGUACGAUAUAUGUCUUCUUUUCAACGUUCUUGAUGAUCAAUCGAUUUGACUCGUAAUAGCCUCGUAAGAUGUCAUUGUAGACGUUAUCGUCCGUAACAACUCUGGCCCAUGUAGUUUACAUUCUUCUACUUUAUCCCAGUUGCCUUUGAAAUCCAUAGCACAAACACGUAACGUAUCUUCGAUUGUCUGGAUCAUCAACCUGUGGGUUAUGGGCCCACCUUGAUGCCAUUUGAAAUCCCGAUUAGCUCGAAGCGUUGUCGUCGAGGACUAACGUUCUAACUUACUCGUAGACAUCAUCUCUAAUAACUGGACUCAAUUCCACGUACUCUCUAUCAUUCACUUCUCACCUAUCAACCUCUAUCUACCAAUCUCUCCUUCUAAUCCAAUACAACUCAUACUCUACACUUACUCUUCAUAUCUUCACUCAAAACAAUAUACAUCUUCCAAAUAUCUGACAUGGUCAACAUACUAUGAACCAUGCAUUUAUAUCAUCCUCAAAUCAAUACAAUAAUCCAAUUUUCAACUAUGCAGUAUAGUCAGAAUACUCUGAACUCUGCAUUUUCACCAUUCUCAACUCAGUCAUUCACUAUCAACCUUUUCUAUAUAGGUCUAAUACUGACCUUUCCCACAAUGCACCAUCUCAAUUAAUCCACAUACUAGAAAUCAUAUGUCUAAACUUAAGAAUCCUAAUCUCUUUAAACCUAUACACUCAAUUUAAUCGUCUAACCAGAUUCUAUACCUCCAUCACAUCUCUAGACUAUCUCUAAAUAGUCUCACAACACCCCUAUACGAGGUUACCCAACAUUCUUCUCUAGAGAACCUAUAACUAUGAUCUAUGUUCUAAUUUCAAAUACUUAUAACCUGUUGCUCUGAUACCAACUGUGACAGUCCAAGAAUCCGGGGGUCUGGAUUCUGACGUCACCACACAAAACCUUUUUAAAACACUUUUGAAACCCUGUAUUUUUAUUUAAAAAUAAUGAAAAUCCAAAAGAAUUUAAAACUUGGAAACAUUUAUUAAAAGAUUUGAAUAAGAACAUAAUUCAAAUGAUUUCAAAACUUGAAUUCCAGACUUGAAAACCAUCAUAAAAGAAUUUCCAGAAAAUCUUUAAACUUUAAUAAAUGAUUCGAAAUAGAACAUUUAAACCCCCAAAAACAACAGGAUCGCUUCCAGGUUACAGUAUUGAAAUUAGAAUCCACCACUAACACAACAAUUCUUACCAAAUCAGAUCAUCUUCGAUACGAAGAAUCACUGUUAACUCUUCCAGCUCCGACUUACACUUGAAUCCCUAUAGCACCGUUCUAGCUUGCACCAACCUCAUCACUUUCCUGAACACUCCUCGACCACUGGAUCCUCAACUCUGUCUCCUCGUCUAGCAUUAGCCUUAUUCACAAUCUCAACCAAUCAUCUCAUCUUUAAGCCUUUCUGAAAUGGUUAGAAAGGAAUAGCAAGGGUGAGCAACAAUGCUCAGCAAGUAAUAAUAAACAAUGAUAAUUCUGAAAUGAUAUAACAGAAGUUCACGAGUUCAAGAUAUAAGAGGAUUCAACCUGAGUUCAUGAGUUCAUGGUAUUGCAUAGAAUGAUUUACAAUACCUUGCAUCAUUUAAACUGAGAAAUUCAAUCUUUCCAAAGAAUUAUUGAAUUGGACUAUCACAUUUUAAUUAAAACCAAGGUUAGGCAGCUGAUCAGUUCCGCACUAACCCCGAGCAGGCCCCGCCAUGCUCUAUCACUGGAUCCAAGGCACUCAUUGGCCUAACAUGACCACGAAUCUGGUCCACAGGUUUAUAUAAAAACAAUAAUCCAAUUCUCUAAUUCAAUAACAGGUCAAUGUAUAACAACAGAACAUAACCACACCCAAUAUCAAUGAUAGAAUAAUUCCAAAUCAAACUUUGAUAAUCAACUUUUCAUAAACCAGAGUCCAUCCUUCCAUAAAUCAUGGUCCAGGAAAUCCUUAACUAUUCAGUAUCCUCCAUUAUCGGCUAAGCAACUGAAUUUAGCCUGCUAAACCAGCAUGACAAUGGCAGGUUGAAUAAUCAAGAAGAUCCCAAGUCAUUCUAGGUUCUAAUCAUCACUGAGCAACACAUGCUUCAAUGACAAUCGGAACUUCGAAUUAAUUUGUAAAACUGGAAUUAUCUGAAUUUUUUGAGGAUUAGAAAAGGAUGGAUAAAAUAUUUACACUUUCAAAUAUAAAAAGGAGAGGAACGAAUAUUUGCAACACAUUCGAAAAGAAUGGAUCAGAAUAAUUGCAAGAUAUCCAAAAGAAGGGUAUAGGAUACUUGCCUUAAAUCUGACUCCCGUCUCACAGCUCAUUCUCAUCUUUCCACUUUCGCAAUCUAUGCAUCUCAUAAUCUCUAGACCAUCUCUAGCUAUACUCUAUUCGCCACAUCGCUUCGCUUACUCGAUUCAUCCCUUAUUCGCUUUGCAAUACCAUUCCGACUUCCUGACGUCUUCGAGCGUACACGUCUCCUCCAAAUCCUUUACGAGAAUAAGAUAAUACUAUAGUCACUAAACAAUAUAUCGCAUAUACAUAUCACGUAUAUCGAUACCCACUUAUAUACCCCUUUAAACUUAUCACAUAUCACUUAACACGUAAUCAUGCUUUGACUCUACCAUAUAGUCAAGUCAUAUUCCACAUAACAUAUUACCAAUCACUUAUCAUAUGAAUCCUAUCGAAAAUCCGACAUCGUCUCGUCUAUUUAUUAGACUAUCCACCUGUUAUCCUAUCUCAAUCAACAAUCAACCAACAAGAUCCAAUCACUAUAAUCCAUAUGUCCUUAUCCAAUAUUAAUCAAAUCAUGACACUAUGUCAUAUAAGUCAUUUAUCACGUACAUAAUAUCAGGAAUAGACAUAUAUAUCACGUAAUCAUUAAUUAAUAACAAUCCAAUAACACAUAAUCACAUUCGGCACAUUUAACAACAAUUAUUCACAUUCUCGACUCCAUCAUAUUAUUAUGUCAUAUCAAACUAGACUUUAUAAGCUUUUAUCUCUCUUUCGUUUCACUUGAUUCCGACCUACAGAUCAAAAGAUAUGGUCAAAACCGUUUUCUGACUCCGCUCUCAACAUAUAAUACCUUACACCGAUAGCAGACAACACAUUACACAUUAAGUCUCCCAUCCCACUUGAUGUCAAAUCAAUUCCUGGGUUUAAAAUGAUUUUUCGUGAAUUUUCUGGAAUUUUUAAACAUUUUUCGGAAUUAAAAUCGAUAAAAGAAUCACUUUUCAGAUAAAUAAUCAAGUCCCAAUACUUAAAAUUGGACUGGAAACCAUUCAUAAACAAUUAUCGAGCCUUGAAAAUAAUUUAGAAAAAUAUUUUAAAGCUCGAAACUAUUUUUCGGAAUUUUUAAAUCAAAAAGGAUUAAUUAAAUCCAAUUAAUUAAUCAAUUAAAAUCAAUUAAUAAUUAAUUAAAACAAUUAAUCAAUUAAUAUUUAAAUUAAUUGACCAAUUAAAAUAAUUAAUUACUAAUUAAAAUUAAUUAAUAAAUCAAAUUAGAUUUAUUUUUGAAUAAAAAUAUAAUUAAAAACUAUUUUUGGAAUUAAAAUAAAUAAAUAAAAACAAUUUUUGAAAAUUAAAAUCAAAAGGUUUAAAGUGUAAAAUUUUAAAACUUUGUCGCAGGGUUUAAACUGCAACAUUUCAAAAGUUCAGGGGGCUCUUUGUCAGAAAUGAAAACUCGGUGGUGAAACUUCACCACCUCUAUAAGUUAGGGGGCUAAACUGUAAUUAUACAGUCGCCGCCCCCCUUUCCGUCGCCGGCCACCGUUGGUGGUUUAAACCAGCCCAGAAUCUCACCAUGAAGUGCAGUUUUAUAGUAAUCAACACCAGGAACUCGAAUAUAUCAACCAAUUAAGCAGUGGUUCCAUGAAUCAGCCGGAAAACCAAAUCAAAGGUUCGUCUCCGGCGAACCUUAAAAUUUUCGAUCCACUCGAAAACGACCUCCUCCACCCUCACUAAGCAUGUAAAACUACUCCCCACAACAAGCUGAUCAUUAUGGUGACCUUCAAAACUGCCCAGAUUCAACCGAAUGAAAAAUCCGGCGAAAACUCAAAAUUUCCGGCGGAAAACGCAAGAACACCAAGAACACUCAAUUUCAAAGAUUAAACUGACUUUUCGAGGUGUUAUUGAACUCAAAAAUUAACAUAUAAUAUACCAAAACGACGAGAAAAACAUGCUCUACAACAUGGAAUCAUCAAAACAAUCAAACAAACACGUUUGCAAAAAUUCACUAUUUAAAUCAUAGUAAUUCGAAUUUUAAAACCCCAAUUACUCCCUACCUGUGAAUCUCAUGUUGUUUUUGAUCAUUGAUAUGGAUUCUACUCUUCGAUAUCUUCGAUUUGACUACUCGCACGCUUGAUUCCGACUCCAAUAACGCCUUCAAAUCCACGUUUGAAUAUGAAGAACACGAAGAACACCGCUCGGUUUCUCUCGGUAUUCGUGCAGAGAAACUGGUGAAAUGAUUUUACGGGUGAAAAUCAGCUCUAGAAAGGUAUAUUUAUAUUUACAAAUAAUUGGUACCCCUUUGGAUCGUAUAUGGCAUGAAAAUACGUAUUUAAUAGCUUUAUAUUAAGAAAGUGGGGUCCAAUCGGUACUAGUUUUCAAGAUAAUCAUCAAAACGGGGCUUUUUAACUCAAUUAUUGGUCUGCGGGUCCCAUUGCAAUUAUUACAUGAUAAGGAUGAAGAAAAUAUCUCGGUUCACGUUUAUCGAGACAAAAUGGAUAAUUAUCGAAUACCGAAAAGCUCCGCCGGACCGGCUCCAGGGAAAACCGUACUCCGGAUCGAAAAAGUCAAAACACGAAAAAUGUCCGGAAUAUUGAUAUUAGGCUAAUGGUGAGUUUUCUCGAAACUUCCGGGAAGAAAAUUUGCUACCUCGUUACGAGUGGACGGUUUUACGGAAGUCAAAUAAUUAAUAAAUAAAUAUAAAUAUACACAAUUAACUCCGUAAAUCGAUUAUAAAAUCAUCUAACAUUCCAUAAAUCAAUAUAAAAAUAUCCAAAUAAACUAUAUUUUCUCCUGAGCAUAUAGAAAUUGAAAUAUCUCAAUUACGAACACAUACGAGCAUUCAGCUCAAUAAACUAGAUAAUACAAAAUUCACAAAAAUUCAUAUAUUAAUCAUAUAAUAUUAAUAAUUAAUCAUAACUAAUUAACAAACAAAUUCACCAAUACCACUUAAUCACAUAACACAUAUAUUCACAUAAUAUUCAUACAGAAUUUUCAAAACAAUAUAUAAAAAUCCAUUUUGAAAAUACAAUUAUUUAUCAAUAAUACAAUAACCCGGGGUUUAAAUAUAAACCUUUGAAAACUCAUUAAACUGGAAUAAAAUAUUAAAUCUUAUUCCUUUCUUUUUAAGAAAAUCAUUUAUAAUAUUAAGAAAAAUAUUUUUAAAAAUCCGGGUUAUUACA